This 303-nucleotide ribosomal RNA is filed under the name uncultured bacterium. Its description in RNAcentral is "partial 16S ribosomal RNA". It matches the Rfam family "Bacterial small subunit ribosomal RNA", at positions 507 to 807 of the family's 1533-position model. The record is from RNAcentral.
AGCAGUAGCCACGGUAAUACGAAGGGUGCAAGCGUUAAUCGGAAUUACUGGGCGUAAAGCGUGCGUAGGCGGUUUGUUAAGUCUGUUGUGAAAUCCCCGGGCUCAGCCUGGGAAUGGCAAUGGAUACUGGCAAGCUAGAGUGUGCCAGAGGAUGGUGGAAUUCCCGGUGUAGCGGUGAAAUGCGUAGAGAUCGGGAGGAACAUCAGUGGCGAAGGCGGCCAUCUGGGACAACACUGACGCUGAUGCACGAAAGCGUGGGGAGCAAACAGGAUUAGAUACCCCCGUAGUCCCUGUCUCUUAUAC